UUAACUUCGUAGAGUGAUAGAACU
Molecule: unclassified non-coding RNA, 24 nt
Filed under: Arabidopsis thaliana (thale cress)
Lineage: Eukaryota; Viridiplantae; Streptophyta; Magnoliopsida; Brassicales; Brassicaceae
Source: RNAcentral